CUGUUUGAGUGUCAUGAAAUAUCAAUCCCUCGGGUUUCCGAUCGAUUGGACUUGGGCCUGCCUCUCGGCUUGCCUCAAAUGCGUCAGUGGGUGAUGCCCGCGUCAGACUUAAUAAGUUUCGUCUGACCACGGCGGCAACCCUCUUAGAAACCCCCUUUAUCUCUGACCUCAAAUCAGGUAGGACUACCCGCUGAACUUAA
RNAcentral lists this unclassified non-coding RNA (200 nucleotides) under soil metagenome. Its description in RNAcentral is "partial contains internal transcribed spacer 2 and large subunit ribosomal RNA". The record is from RNAcentral.